GGCUCGGUAGCGGAUGGUUCCGUGUCUGCCUCGCAUGAAGAGGAAACCUGAAGUGCACAGAUGCCGCCUGUUCGAAUCAGGCCCGAGCCA
Non-coding RNA from Mycena rebaudengoi, 90 nucleotides. The record is from the annotation of a GenBank genome assembly. NCBI's taxonomy places the organism in Eukaryota, Fungi, Basidiomycota, Agaricomycetes, Agaricales, Mycenaceae.